RNAcentral lists this unclassified non-coding RNA (348 nucleotides) under soil metagenome. RNAcentral's name for it is "partial contains 5.8S ribosomal RNA, internal transcribed spacer 2, and large subunit ribosomal RNA". The stretch from base 1 to 120 matches the Rfam family "5.8S ribosomal RNA", at positions 35 to 154 of the family's 154-position model. The record is from RNAcentral.
GAUGAAGAACGUAGCGAAAUGCGAUACGUAAUGUGAAUUGCAGAAUUCAGUGAAUCAUCGAGUCUUUGAACGCACAUUGCGCCCCCUGGUAUUCCGGGGGGCAUGCCUGUCCGAGCGUCAUUGCUGCCCUCAAGCACGGCUUGUGUGUUGGGCCUCCGUCCUCCUCCCGGGGGACGGGCCCGAAAGGCAGCGGCGGCACCGCGUCCGGUCCUCGAGCGUAUGGGGCUUCGUCACCCGCUCUUGUAGGCCCGGCCGGCGCUUGCCGACGACCAUCAAUCUCUUUCUCCAGGUUGACCUCGGAUCAGGUAGGGAUACCCGCUGAACUUAAGCAUAUCAAUAAGCGGAGGA